AGUGCCUAUUGUGUGCAGUUACAGUGCAGGGAUAACUUUGCAGUCCAGGUGUAAAUUCUGCUGCAAUGCCCAUCUCUGUAGGUCUGGGACAAUUUUUUUUUUUCCUGGAGUGGAAGCCAGGGCUGGCAAGCAUUGUGUGCUGUGUCCCUUCACUGCAUUCUAUCCCUAAGAGAGCAGCUCCUGUCACUCAGUCCUCACUAACCAAUGACAGCCUCCAGAUGUACCCACCAGUUAUAAUAAGGGAGGGCACUUCCGGUCCAUCGUGAUAGCAGCUUGGAGUCCAGGGACUGAGGGAGGAUCUCUUGGUUUUUGGGUGCUAGGCUGUGAUCCCGCUGCCUGGAGCUGUGAGAACUGUCUGAGCUUGGAAUCUAUGCCAUGGUUCGAACCCAACCACUACCCUAUGCUCCAAUGCAGCAGAUGGAGAGAAAUGUGGCAGCAGCAGCAGGCUCACAGGGGUUUGAUGAAGCCCUGAAGCUUUUCUCUGUGAUGAUAUGGAGCCUGAGCAAUGGAUGUCACCUGAUGUCAGUCUUCUAGAGCAGGCAGAUGCACUGAUCACACAG
This is a long non-coding RNA of Peromyscus eremicus (cactus mouse), 560 nucleotides long. RefSeq lists it as uncharacterized. The record is from RefSeq and is a predicted model, not a curated record. Lineage: Eukaryota; Metazoa; Chordata; Mammalia; Rodentia; Cricetidae. The transcript has 3 exons.